Ictalurus punctatus (channel catfish) is the source of this 4865-nucleotide long non-coding RNA. Lineage: Eukaryota; Metazoa; Chordata; Actinopteri; Siluriformes; Ictaluridae. The record is from Ensembl.
UGUGGACUCUAGGCUGUCAGGGAACACAUGGCCGACAGUUAUGGUCCCUGCUGAAUUUCUGCUUUACAGAGUGAUUGUAGCACACACUGUCUUUGCAUCACAAAACAAAAUCAUCUCUCUCUCUCUCUCUCUCUCUCUCUCUCUCUCUCUCUCUCUCUCCAUCUCUCUUUCUGUCUAUCUCUUGCUUUCUGUCUCUCUUUGUCUCCUCAAUUCCAGAAGUUUCUCCAUAAUUACAAGGCUGAAUCAAAAAGGAAGCUUUAUCGACUAAAAGGCACAUCCAUCAUCCUCCCAAGUACGAUUCCUCCUAUAACUGUGGCAGCAUACAUGGCCUGCAGGAACAAUGUGGCUGUUUUUUCAUUCCUGGUUUAUGUUAUGAUUGUCAGUAGAAAUAUUCAUUAGCAUGAAAUAUUAUCAAAUUUGACAACAUCCCUGUUUUGUUCUGUAUUAUAAACACAUGGUCAUGAAGGAGGAGUAGCGGAAAGUGCUUCAUGUUAUAUAUGUGCCGUUUCUCUGAGCAUAGCGCGGUCUAAUGUACUCUGAACCUGAGUAUUUGUGUGUGUUUGGCAGGCGUGGCACUGCAGCAGUGAUGGAGAGAAGGAGAGAAAGAGAAAAAGAAAGAGAAAGAGAAAGAGAAAAAGCAAGGUCCCCUUUCUUUUAAGCUCAGCUCACUUGGCUCUGUACAUCCUGAAGCACAAGACAGGAGGGGGAAGGAAGAAAGGACAAGAGAGGUGAGGACAGAAAGAUGACACAGAAAUAAAGGAUGAGCAGGACAGAAAGUUGUUGAAUGCAGGAGGAUGAGAGAAACACACCGGAUCACUCAAAAUGCAAAUGAUUCAACUAAAAGGCACAAUUAAUAUCCGUUAAGAAUAUAUAUUAAAAUUUGGAAAUUUUCUAUGAAAAUGAAUUAACUCAGUUCAGCAAGACUGACUGACUUGACACUUCCAACACAAUGAAAUCCAAUCUUUAUGAAAUAUCUUAAAUAUAGAGAAACAUAUACAACAAUAUUCAGGAGCCCAAAUAAGCUGUUACCAUUUAGAGCUACUGCUCAUCCGGCAUAUCGAUCCAGAGCUAAAAUGCUGUUUUUAUGCAUUACGCUGUCUGUCUUCCUCACGCUAGCAGACAAAGAGCAAGCAACGGUGGUGCAUUAGGAAGUCUAUUAAAACUCUACAUUUCUUAAUUAGCCCUACUAAGAUUAUGUCUUUCCCUGUGGGCUCCACAAAAUGCAAGUCAUUCUGCAGUGCCUCCACCCUUCAUGCCCACCAUCAUCAUCACCAUCAUCACCAUCAUCAUCAGUCGCAGCAGCAGGGGGACAAAAACAGACUUUUCUGUCUGAAGCUGCAUAUUAAAUUAUAUCAUCCAUUCAGAUUUAUAGGAGGCUGAAAGCACCUAAGGAUUGGUAAGAAGCAAUCAUGUAAAAGUCACGUACAUAGUAUUCAAUUAAACAUCAACACCACACACACCAUUAACUUAUAUGUAAUGAUUAACAAUUAUUGCAACCAAUGGGGUGCUAAAUAUGAUGAUCGGGAUCACUCACUUCCACAAUUUAUUAUGCAUUUUGCAAUUGAGGAAAAUUAUAUAUUGACAUUUAUAUGUCUGUUAAAGCAUCUAACAUAUUAGGUAGGUAUGAAAGUGUGACAAUGCUUUUAAAAUGGCUGUCAUUUUAAUUACUCCCAAGAAAUGUUGAAAGCCAUUUAUAUGUAGUCUAUAAAACUGGAUUAGAGCAAUUACAUUGAGCCAUACAAAAACAUCAAAAAUCACUUUGUGAAUAGAAGAAAUGUCACUAGGUUAAUAAAAACAGACCAUGAGUUAAAAAGAGUUAAAUACUUAAUAUUAAGGCAAAUGAGAGUUAAAUUAAUAAACAUAGCAGCACAUAUGAAUUUCUUCAAGCAUAUGGCCAUUGAUAAAUUUCCUGUUGAGGCUAGCAGUGUUUGACUUUCUUAAAAAAACAAUCUACAUUCUCUUCUAUAGUGGAAAAUCACACAUAGUCAAUACAAGCAGGGUGAUUUAGUUGGGAUGGACUAAAGGGCUCAUGGUGUAUUUGAUUGAUUUGAGUGUGAGCACAGCAAAGAUUAGGAGGGCAAUUGAAGGAAGGAAAGAAAGAAAGAAAGAAAGAAAGAACGAAAAAAUAAAGAAAGGAGGCACACUGUCAGUGUGGUGUUUCCUGAAAAGAGAAAUUGGCAGGCUAGGGUUACCCUACCAUUCAUUCUCUCUCUCUCUCUCUCUCUCUCUCUCUCUCUCUCUCUCUCUCUCUCUCUCUCUCUUUCACACACACAUACACACAAUGGCCACGUGGCCACUCUUCUGUCUGUCAUGCUACACAAAGAGAAGAAAGAAAAAUACAACAGUCUUUAACAGAGAAAACAGCUGUUGUACACUUUAUUGAAGCUGUUACGCAGCCUGACACUACAGGAAAAUUAAUUGUGAACUACAUGUGAUACAAAACAAAUUUCUUAUAAUUACAAUCAGUUAUUUUAAGACUUGUAAUAUUAUUUACAUUAUUCCUGUAGAUGAUUAUAUUACUAACAAUCCUACGUAGAAUAAGGCAUGAAAUUAAUUUCGAAUUUUAGACAUCAGGAAAUGCUGAAAAUCAAUUGGUUUGACCUCCUACAGCUUUAGAAACACUUAGUUUCCACAACUUAAACACGUUUAUUUAAAGUUUUGUUUUGUCUGAAGCUUUAAUGUAUUAUGCGCAAUAUCAUAAAUAUAGGCUACAUACAUCAAAUAAAUCAAAAUCUAGUAUAUAUAUAUAUUUCAGAAUAAAAAGACAUAUGAUUGUAAGAGGAUACAUUUGUAGCAUCUGCAUCUUAUGAACAAUUAGACCAAAUACAUUUUUGUUUAUAUUUUCUGAGCAUGUUUUUGUAUCUAGCCUGUAUUUUUCCUAAUGUCUUAAAUCAAUUCCUAAUGAAUUAAAAAGAUACAUCACUCAAAACAUGUUUGGAUCUAAUUGUUGUGUAUAUUGUAUUUUCAGUGAGUACAUCCAUUCACAUACUUUUUACAACUUCAAUUCCUUUCUAGAAGAUAUGACUUUUAGAUGCUUACUAGGUGGCAAAAAAAAACUCUGCAAUUUAUAGUCUGGAAAAUGCAGUAAUUGGAAUUGUAAUCUCAUAUAUUCUGUGUUAUUUCUUGACUAUAUGAUACUUUCCAACAUUGCACACUGUUGCCAUACAGCAACCAUUUACCAACAACCCCCUCCCUCCCCCAAAAUGUUUAAAAUGUUUUAAAAUUUAUAGAUUUUUUAAAUCCAUAAAACAUUUUUUUAUGUAAAUGUAAUAAUAACUCAUGCAGUAGAGGGUUUAAAGAACAAGGAGCACAAAUGAAAAACUGUUUAGGAAGCUCAUUUCAAGACUGCCGUUUGUCAAUUAAUCUAUAAUACAGGUUAAGUUUCAUUUUCGAUGCCUGUCAAUGUUUUCCAGAAAUGCAAUGGUUUAUAUAAACAGAAAUAGAUGUCUGACAAGGAUAAAUUUACAUAAAAUGGCAAAAAAAAGUGUAUAUAAUUUCCAUUACAAGGCAACCCAUAAAUCAUGAACUAUCUGGGCAAUGACCAACAAAUCGAAAUAAUUCUACUCAAUGGAGAUCAAAGUCAAUUUUAAAAAGCACAGGUAUACACAAGGAAAAUGAGGAAUGAAGCAUCUACCACUGUGUGUUUAACACUAAUAAACAUAGUUUAUUGAGUGGAUAUUAUUGAGUGAAUGUCUAAAUUUGUGCACUGAGAAAAAUGUUGGACAUAUUUACCAAGUUCUGUAAAUAUGUUAUUUAAUCUGUAAAGAGUUUUUUCAAAAUUUUCUCCUAUGAUGCUGGACUUAUAAGACACCAUAAAUAAUACCUCAAAAAUGCAGGGUAAAUUGUAGUUUUAUUAAAUAAAGCAUUAAAACGAGUUACAAUUUUUCUCUCUUUUUUUUUUUUUUUUUAACUUACUGUACAACGGGGUGUUGGAAGCUUACGACUACAGUAAAGAACCAGCAUCUCCCUGUGGCACUAUGGAGAAAAAAAAAGGAAAAAAGAACAUUACAAAGCAUGUGGAUUUGAUAAACACUUUUCUCAGCCCUUUCCUUUAUAACACUGAACAUUUUAUUGCAACUUUAAAUGAAAAAGAAUUCAUAAGUUGGUCCGUAUAUUAUUUUCCUCUACUCUGUGAUCUAGUGAUCUGUUUUUAAGUUCAUCUUAAUCCACUUUAUUAGCAACUCAUCUUAAAUUUGGCUACAUGAUUUCAAUUCUAGAAACAUGUAAUAUUGGGAAUAUUGCUUAAAGAAAUGCUUGGCACCUAGGCACCUACACACGCACACGCACAUGCACACACACACACACGAUGAACUGAGAACAGUGACAAUAAAUCAUCUUCAGUGAAAAGCUUGAGAAAUUGAUUAAGAGGAAACAGUGGAGAUGAAGGAAGACAGAGAUAGACAUGCAGAAAGAAAGCUGAUUAAUAAGGCGAGAGAGGAGAUGAGUCACUGAGAGGUAUUUAGGUGGUGUAGUUCUGCUUUUCACAGUGUGCUGAUGGGUGGACAGCAAGCAGGUUCCUUUCACACAGAUAAUAGUGUCAUUAAUCAAGCGGUCAGUGCCUGGGCUCAUUAUCGCAUGUAGGCUGUAUGAUUAUGCUCAUUGAUUAGACUGAAAAAAAUUGGCUGUUUUUCUAACCUGGCUCAUUUGCUCGUGUUUUGGCUGGAUUGUUUAAUAAUGACUAAUAGAUUAGAGGAGGAGAGCUGACAAACUAGAGUUUGAAUAAUGAUCUUUUUAUUGGGAGUGUUAAGACCUACCCUAGCAGGAUCAAAUGUACCAUUUUUAUUUGAAAAUUAUUUAUGUAUGAACAUAUAUACAAUUACUAUAUGUAUGUAUGUAUGUAUGUAUAUAUGUAUCUCUCUCUCACU